Molecule: ribosomal RNA, 478 nt
Filed under: uncultured bacterium
Lineage: Bacteria
Description: partial 16S ribosomal RNA
Rfam family: Bacterial small subunit ribosomal RNA
Source: RNAcentral
GAUGAACGCUAGCGGCAGGCCUAACACAUGCAAGUCGAGGGAGAAGCCCUUUCGGGGGCAGAAACCGGCGCACGGGUGCGUAACGCGUAUGCAACCUACCUUUCACAGGGGGAUAGCCCGAAGAAAUUUGGAUUAAUACCCCAUAAUAUUAUUGGAUGGCAUCAUUUGAUAAUUAAAACUGCGGUGGUGAAAGAUGGGCAUGCGUCCUAUUAGCUAGUUGGAGUGGUAACGGCACCCCAAGGCUACGAUAGGUAGGGGUCCUGAGAGGGAGAUCCCCCACACUGGUACUGAGACAGGGACCAGAAUCCUACGGGAGGGAGCAGUGAGGAAUAUUGGUCAAUGGUCGGAAGACUGAACCAGCCAUGCCGCGUGCAGGAAGAAUGCCUUAUGGGUUGUAAACUGCUUUUAUAUGGGAAGAAUAAGGCGUACGUGUACGUUGAUGACGGUACCAUAUGAAUAAGCAUCGGCUAACUCCGUG